This 150-nucleotide non-coding RNA is filed under the name bovine gut metagenome. RNAcentral's name for it is "Lysine riboswitch". It matches the Rfam family "Lysine riboswitch aptamer". Rfam says of the family: Riboswitches are metabolite binding domains within certain messenger RNAs that serve as precision sensors for their corresponding targets. The record is from RNAcentral.
UGAUGGAGGCGCGGAUCUUAUCAGUAACCCGGGAAAAUGCCGGCAGGCACGGGCGAAAGGAAGAUCUGCCGAAGUGGAACGGACGCCAUUCCGUUUUGCUGGGCUGCAAGAGAAGAUCCUGCAGACUGUCACUUUAUGUGGAGGGCCAUC